This 497-nucleotide ribosomal RNA is filed under the name uncultured bacterium. RNAcentral's name for it is "partial 16S ribosomal RNA". It matches the Rfam family "Bacterial small subunit ribosomal RNA", at positions 28 to 507 of the family's 1533-position model. The record is from RNAcentral.
GAUGAACGCUGGCGGCGUGCCUAAUACAUGCAAGUCGAGCGACCAGACGAGGAGCUUGCUUCUCUGACGUUAGCGGCGGACGGGUGAGUAACACGUGGAUAACCUACCUAUAAGACUGGGAUAACUUCGGGAAACCGGAGCUAAUACCGGAUAAUAUAUUGAACCGCAUGGUUCAAUAGUGAAAGACGGUUUUGCUGUCACUUAUAGCUGGAUCCGCGCCGCAUUAGCUAGUUGGUAAGGUAACGGCUUACCAAGGCAACGAUGCGUAGCCGACCUGAGAGGGUGAUCGGCCACACUGGAACUGAGACACGGUCCAGACUCCUACGGGAGGCAGCAGUAGGGAAUCUUCCGCAAUGGGCGAAAGCCUGACGGAGCAACGCCGCGUGAGUGAUGAAGGUCUUCGGAUCGUAAAACUCUGUUAUUAGGGAAGAACAAAUGUGUAAGUAACUAUGCACGUCUUGACGGUACCUAAUCAGAAAGCCACGGCUAACUACGUG